Molecule: ribosomal RNA, 369 nt
Filed under: uncultured phototrophic eukaryote
Lineage: Eukaryota
Description: SSU rRNA
Rfam family: Bacterial small subunit ribosomal RNA
Source: RNAcentral
GACGGAGGAUGCAAGUGUUAUCCGGAAUCACUGGGCGUAAAGCGUCUGUAGGUGGUUUAGUAAGUCUAUUGUUAAAUCUUGAGGCUCAACUUCAAAUCAGCAAUGGAAACUGCUAGACUCGAGUAUGGUAGAGGUAAGGGGAAUUUCCAGUGGAGCGGUGAAAUGCGUAGAUAUUGGAAAGAACACCGAUGGCGAAGGCACCUUACUGGGCCAUUACUGACACUCAGAGACGAAAGCUAGGGUAGCAAAUGGGAUUAGAUACCCCAGUAGUCCUAGCAGUAAACGAUGGAUACUAGAUGUUGCCCGUUCACCGCAGUGUCAAAGCUAACGCGUUAAGUAUCCCGCCUGGGAAGUAUGCUCGCAAGAGUG